This 271-nucleotide ribosomal RNA is filed under the name uncultured bacterium. RNAcentral's name for it is "partial 16S ribosomal RNA". It matches the Rfam family "Bacterial small subunit ribosomal RNA", at positions 524 to 796 of the family's 1533-position model. The record is from RNAcentral.
UACGUAGGUGGCAAGCGUUAUCCGGAAUUACUGGGCGUAAAGCGCACGCAGGCGGCUCUUUAAGUUUGACGUGAAAGCUCCCGGCUUAACUGGGAGAGGUCGUUGAAAACUGGAGGGCUUGAGGCAAUGAGGGGUGUAGAAUUCCCGGUGUAGUGGUGGAAUGCGUAGAUAUCGGGAGGAAUACCAGUGGCGAAAGCGGCACCCUAGCGUUGUUCUGACGCUCAUGUGCGAAAGCGUGGGGAGCGAACGGGAUUAGAAACCCCUGUAGUCC